This 271-nucleotide ribosomal RNA is filed under the name uncultured prokaryote. RNAcentral's name for it is "partial 16S ribosomal RNA". It matches the Rfam family "Bacterial small subunit ribosomal RNA", at positions 524 to 794 of the family's 1533-position model. The record is from RNAcentral.
UACGGAGGAUCCGAGCGUUAUCCGGAUUUAUUGGGUUUAAAGGGUGCGCAGGCGGGAGAUUAAGUCGGCGGUGAAAUUUUGCAGCUCAACUGUAAAAGUGCCUUCGAAACUGGUUUCCUUGAGUGUGGAUGAAGUAGGCGGAAUUUGUGGUGUAGCGGUGAAAUGCAUAGAUAUCACGAGGAACUCCGAUUGCGCAGGCAGCUUACUAAACUACUACUGACGCUCAGGCACGAAGGCGUGGGGAUCAAACAGGAUUAGAUACCCCUGUAGU